CACUUCUCGGCGGUUUGGCGAUGACGUCACCGAUGCGGCCGGCCGGGAAUGGGAAGUAUCAGCUGGAAGCGAGGACGAUUGGCGGGACUCGUGAUGUACAAACCCCGUCACUGACGAUUGAAAAACCAGAAUCUAUGUCAGAACCCGCCGCCUUCGAAGAACCUCAGCCAGAAACCUCUAAACGACUAC
Molecule: long non-coding RNA, 189 nt
Organism: Bacillus rossius redtenbacheri
Lineage: Eukaryota; Metazoa; Arthropoda; Insecta; Phasmatodea; Bacillidae
Exons: 2
Source: RefSeq, a predicted model, not a curated record